This 426-nucleotide long non-coding RNA is filed under the name Helianthus annuus (common sunflower). The record is from RNAcentral. Lineage: Eukaryota; Viridiplantae; Streptophyta; Magnoliopsida; Asterales; Asteraceae.
UUUCUUUAAACCCUAAUUUCAGUUUCAUAUCCUGCCUCUUUCCAUCCUCUAUCUUUUUCUCUUUCUUGUGCGUUCAGUCCUUCAUCUACCUAACCCUUAUCACUAUCCCAUUCCAUCUACAGUCAAUAAGACCCUAUAUAUCUUUGAUUCAUCGAUUGUAACCUUCGAGUUUGGAAUAUAUGAGUAUACAACCCAAGAAAUAAAGAGAGAAGGAGAUGCGAUAGUGGCCAGGAACAGGGGUUAAAGCGAUGUCAGAUCAAUCAUUUAGGGUUCUGACCGAGGAUUUCAAGCGUUGAGCUGUAAUCCGGGUUCUAAAUUUCAAGUUGAAAGAUGGAAAGGGAUUUCAUGGGUUUGAAUUCAAAAGAUUUAAAGGUCAUGGUCAAAGAUGAAGCUGUUGAUGUAUGCAAAGAAUCGGGGGUCGUAUGA